CCUACGGGGGGCUGCAGUGGGGAAUUUUGGACAAUGGGCGCAAGCCUGAUCCAGCAAUGCCGCGUGCAGGAAGAAGGCCUUCGGGUUGUAAACUGCUUUUGUCAGGGAAGAAAUCCUCUGGGUUAAUACCUCGGGGGGAUGACGGUACCUGAAGAAUAAGCACCGGCUAACUACGUGCCAGCAGCCGCGGUAAUACGUAGGGUGCGAGCGUUAAUCGGAAUUACUGGGCGUAAAGUGGGCAGAGGCGUGUGAAAUCCCCGGGCGCAACCUGGGAACUGCAUUUGUGACUGCAAGGCUAGAGUACGGCAGAGGGGGAUGGAAUUCCGCGUGUAGCAGUGAAAUGCGUAGAUAUGCGGAGGAACACCGAUGGCGAAGGCAAUCCCCUGGGCCUGUACUGACGCUCAUGCACGAAAGCGUGGGGAGCAAACAGGAUUAGAUACCCGAGUAGUC
RNAcentral lists this ribosomal RNA (450 nucleotides) under uncultured bacterium. RNAcentral's name for it is "partial 16S ribosomal RNA". It matches the Rfam family "Bacterial small subunit ribosomal RNA", at positions 338 to 795 of the family's 1533-position model. The record is from RNAcentral.